Long non-coding RNA from Manis javanica (Malayan pangolin), 388 nucleotides. RefSeq lists it as uncharacterized. Lineage: Eukaryota; Metazoa; Chordata; Mammalia; Pholidota; Manidae. The record is from RefSeq and is a predicted model, not a curated record.
GGAGUCGGUGUUGUAUGGGCACACUGCACGGAUUCAGGGUCAGGCUGCCGUUUGCACCCAUGUGCACUGAGCAGAAGUUCGAGAUGGCGAAGACAUGGUGGAAGAGAGUGGACUGACAUUUCAUGGGAAGAACAGUCAAUGCCAAGGAAGAUGGUGGGACCAAAGGAGCCACAAGUAUUGAUUUUAUUUGUUCAACUUGACAAGACUCCAAGCUUAUAAAUGUGGGGAGCCACAGUCAUUGACCUAGAGCUAAUGGUCUGACCCAGGUCAGCGCUGGGGACAAAGAGCCUGGGUGACGCAGGCCAGGAUUCAGCCUCACUGGCAAGAAGCAGCCCAGAAAAUGGAUCUGAAGGAACAGCAGAGAAGAACGCACCCAGCCAGUGGCUUA